Small nuclear RNA from Octodon degus (degu), 144 nucleotides. RefSeq annotates it as U4 spliceosomal RNA. The record is from RefSeq and is a predicted model, not a curated record. Lineage: Eukaryota; Metazoa; Chordata; Mammalia; Rodentia; Octodontidae. The transcript has a single exon.
AGCUGCGCGCAGUGGCAGUAUUGUAGCCAGUGAGGCUCACCUGAGGCGUGAUCAUUGCUGACUGAAAACAUUUCACCCUGUUGGGACAACUUGAAAUAAAUAUACUUUUUAUACUUUUUAAUAUGCUUUAGAAAAAAAUCUUUU